This 1335-nucleotide ribosomal RNA is filed under the name uncultured bacterium. RNAcentral's name for it is "bacterial SSU rRNA". It matches the Rfam family "Bacterial small subunit ribosomal RNA", at positions 34 to 1361 of the family's 1533-position model. The record is from RNAcentral.
CGCUGGCGGUUGCUUACACAUGCAAGUCGAACGGCAGCACGAGAGAGCUUGCUCUCUUGGUGGCGAGUGGCGGACGGGUGAGUAACGCGUAAGAAUCUGCCUGGUAGUGGGGAUAACUCGGGGAAACUCGAGCUAAUACCGCAUACUCCCUACGGGGGAAAGUGGGGGACCUUCGGGCCUCACGCUAUUAGAUGAGCUUGCGUUGGAUUAGCUAGUUGGUAGGGUAAUGGCCUACCAAGGCGACGAUCCAUAGCUGGUCUGAGAGGACGAUCAGCCACACUGGGACUGAGACACGGCCCAGACUCCUACGGGAGGCAGCAGUGGGGAAUAUUGGACAAUGGGCGCAAGCCUGAUCCAGCAAUACCGCGUGUGUGAAGAAGGCCUGCGGGUUGUAAAGCACUUUCAAUUGUGAAGAAAAGCCUGGGGUUAAUACCCCCGAGUCUUGACGUUAACUUUAGAAGAAGCACCGGCUAACUCUGUGCCAGCAGCCGCGGUAAUACAGAGGGUGCGAGCGUUAAUCGGAAUUGCUGGGCGUAAAGCGUGCGUAGGUGGUUUAGUAAGUCAGAUGUGAAAGCCCUGGGCUUAACCUGGGAACUGCAUUUGAAACUGCUGAACUAGAGUGUGGUAGAGGGAAGUGGAAUUCCGGGUGUAGCGGUGAAAUGCGUAGAUAUCCGGAGGAACACCAGUGGCGAAGGCGACUUCCUGGACCAACACUGACGCUGAGGUACGAAAGCGUGGGUAGCAAACAGGAUUAGAUACCCUGGUAGUCCACGCCGUAAACGAUGUCAACUAGUUGUUGGGAGCAUCCUGGCUCUUAGUAACGUAGCUAACGCGAUAAGUUGACCGCCUGGGGAGUACGGCCGCAAGGUUAAAACUCAAAGGAAUUGACGGGGGCCCGCACAAGCGGUGGAGCAUGUGGUUUAAUUCGAUGCAACGCGAAGAACCUUACCAGCCCUUGACAUCCUGCGAACUUUCUAGAGAUAGAUUGGUGCCUUCGGGAACGCAGUGACAGGUGCUGCAUGGCUGUCGUUAGCUCGUGUCGUGAGAUGUUGGGUUAAGUCCCGUAACGAGCGCAACCCUUGUCCUUAGUUGCCAGCAUUUCGGAUGGGAACUCUAGGGAGACUGCCGGUGUUAAACCGGAGGAAGGUGGGGAUGACGUCAAGUCCUCAUGGCCCUUAUGUCCAGGGCUACACACGUGCUACAAUGGCCGGUACAAAGGGCAGCAAUACCGCGAGGUGGAGCAAAUCCCAAAAAGCCGGUCUCAGUUCGGAUUGGAGUCUGCAACUCGACUCCAUGAAGUUGGAAUCGCUAGUAAUCGCGUAUCAGCAUGACGCG